This is a long non-coding RNA of Vigna angularis (adzuki bean), 1221 nucleotides long. RefSeq lists it as uncharacterized. Lineage: Eukaryota; Viridiplantae; Streptophyta; Magnoliopsida; Fabales; Fabaceae. The record is from RefSeq and is a predicted model, not a curated record. The transcript has 3 exons.
AUCAAAAUAGCAAUCAGUACAAGUUCCAACAAUAAAAGGGGGAAGAAAGAGGGGGGUUUGAGGGGGUGCCAGCCAGGAACAAAAGAAAUAAAACAGUUCACUAGCAAAAACCUGUCUAAAGAAAAAUGUGAUGUAAUUCCGAUGUAUUGGAGAAUUCUGACUAAGCAUCAUAACAAUCUUUUCUCAUUAAAGUCAAUUUUCAAGGAGAGAACAUGUAUGAAAUGCAUUGAAACAGGAUAUGUCAACAAAAUUUGAUUGCCCUAUUCUUAUGUAUUAGGUCACUGUAAUGUGACAAUGAAAAUGAUAAGUUAGCAUGCACAAAAAUAGAAAAAAAAUGUACUGAAAUAAAUUGGUAAAAGACUAUUUUUGUCGAAAUAAAUGAAAACAAUUUUUCAGUCACCAUUACAGCUAUAUGACUGAAACAGGGUCAGUCAAAAUGUUGGAAUAAUGAUACUUAAUGUAUUUAGUAAAUAGAAGAUUCAUAUAAUCACAUGAUUAUAUGUAUUAAGUGUUUAUGGGUAUUAGUAUCUAGGAAGUUGCACUCAAUUAAUAUUAGCCUAGGAACUAAUUUCAACUAAGGGUCCUUUUGGACAUUCUUUAAUUUAUAUAUGAUAAAAAAAUCAGUGGGUGUCAAACCCCUGAAAAUGACAUGUGGAAGAAAGGGGCAGAUGUCUCAAAAAGAUGAGCUUGAGUAUUUUAUAUGGCUUUCCCAAAACACAGCUCAUCCCAUUUCUCAGAAUUUACAUCCCUCUAAAACUCAAACCUCUACCUUCUCUCCUCCUUCUCUCUAGAAAUCCUCCAUCUCCUUUCACUUUUUCCUCAAACAGCCACCGUCUAAGCAAUUUGGGAGUCAAGAUCUUCAAUCUACACCGAUCAAAAUCAAGUUUAGAGUCAAGUGUUCUUGGUAUAAUCCUGGGAAGGAAGCAAAGUCUGGAAAAGAAUAAUCAUUGUUUGGUCCGGUCAAGAGAAGGAGCUGAAGUUUUUCUGGAGCAGGCGAUGGCAGGAGAAGAUGGUUCUUGCUAGGGUAAGACCGUUCAGUCUGGUGCUGGUUUUGUAUUAGUAAAAGACCAUUCGAUUUAAUACGUUGCUUUUAUGACUGAUCAGUCUGAUCUUAUGAGUUGUGUUAGUAUAGGUUUCUGUAAAGUUGUGAAUUUAUGGUUAUUCUAGGAUAGCUGUAAAUUAACUUUAUUCUUCUUGUAAACUGUUCUAUUUUAUUAUGAA